RNAcentral lists this ribosomal RNA (246 nucleotides) under uncultured Rhodovibrio sp. RNAcentral describes it as "partial 16S ribosomal RNA". It matches the Rfam family "Bacterial small subunit ribosomal RNA", at positions 99 to 356 of the family's 1533-position model. The record is from RNAcentral. Lineage: Bacteria; Pseudomonadati; Pseudomonadota; Alphaproteobacteria; Rhodospirillales; Rhodovibrionaceae.
CGGACGGGUGAGGAACGCGUAGGGAUUUGUCGUUGGGUGGGGGAUAACCGCGGGAAACUGCGGCUAAUACCGCAUGACGCCUGUGGGCCAAAGGUGUGUGAGCACUGCCUGACGAGGAGCCUGCGUCCGAUUAGCUAGUAGGUUGGGUAAUGGCUGACCUAGGCUGUGAUCGGUAGCUGGUCUGAGAGGAUGAUCAGCCACACUGGGACUGAGACACGGCCCAGACUCCUACGGGAGGCAGCAGCG